UCCGUAGGUGAACCUGCGGAAGGAUCAUUACCACGCGAUCCACAUCGCUUACACUCUGGUAACACACCGUCGCCGCUGGCUGUGGCGAUGCAGCAAGUAACAGCCCCCCGUGUCCCGUUAGGAGGUGGCAGCGCAGGCCGCUCGCGGUGAGCGCGCGCCUCUGGGGGAGGUGGCACCUCUGGUGCCCCUCACAACGGUGACGCCCAACCUUUACAACCUUGACUGAACCCGCGUGUCUGAAACGUCAUUGGUGCGGCCGCCAGGCCCCCAGUGCAAGUAACAGAUCACAACUUUUAGCGGUGGAUGUCUCGGCUCCUACGACGAUGAAGAACGCAGCGAAAUGCGAUACGUAAUGCGAAUUGCAGAAAUCGUGAAUCAUCAAAUCUUUGAACGCACAUUGCGCUCCUCGGAGCAUGCCUGUUUCAGUGUCUGCAACACCCCUCACCAACACACUUGUUGUGCUGGUGGACUAUGGGCCUCCCGGCGCAAGCCGCGUGGCCUGAAGUGCGCUGGGGUGCCGUCUUUGUUGCGCAGUGGUGGAUCGCGCAGCAGGCAGCCGUGGUGUGGUGGUCCCCGGAAACGGGAACAGCCCCCAUGUUGCUGCUCUGCUGCCGCCACCGUCUUACAUGCUGCCAGCAGGACAAAGGCACGCCGGGCUUUGAGUAGCCCGCCCAACCCUUCUUUGAGUUGGACCUGAAAUCAAGCAAGGAGACCCGCUGGAUUUAAGCAUAUAAAUAAGCGGAGGAAAAGAAACUAACAAGGAUUCCCUCAGUAACGGCGAGUGAAGCGGGAAGAGCUCAAACUUGAAAUCGGCUUGCCGAAUUGUAGUCUAGAGAGGCGACGCCAGUGGCCGGCCCGGGUUAAGUGCCCUGCGAAUGGGCUGUCAGAGAGGGUGAUAACCCCGUCUUUGCCUGGGAUGAGCCACGUACGGCCCGCUUUCGAAGAGUCGAGUUGCUUGGGAAUGCAGCUCUAAUUGGGUGGUAAAUUCCAUCUAAAGCUAAAUAUCAGUAGGAGACCGACAGCGAACAAGUACCGUGAGGGAAAGAUGAAAAGAACUUUGAAGAGAGAGUGAAAAGUACCUGAAACCGCUAAAAGGGAAACGCUUGAAGU
RNAcentral lists this ribosomal RNA (1110 nucleotides) under uncultured fungus. RNAcentral's name for it is "eukaryotic LSU rRNA". The stretch from base 690 to 1110 matches the Rfam family "Eukaryotic large subunit ribosomal RNA", at positions 1 to 429 of the family's 3401-position model. The record is from RNAcentral. Lineage: Eukaryota; Fungi.